This 447-nucleotide ribosomal RNA is filed under the name uncultured bacterium. Its description in RNAcentral is "bacterial SSU rRNA". It matches the Rfam family "Bacterial small subunit ribosomal RNA", at positions 329 to 793 of the family's 1533-position model. The record is from RNAcentral.
GACCAGACUCCUACGGGAGGCAGCAGUGGGGAAUAUUGCACAAUGGGGGAAACCCUGAUGCAGCGACGCCGCGUGAGUGAAGAAGUAUUUCGGUAUGUAAAGCUCUAUCAGCAGGGAAGAAAAUGACGGUACCUGACUAAGAAGCCCCGGCUAACUACGUGCCAGCAGCCGCGGUAAUACGUAGGGGGCAAGCGUUAUCCGGAUUUACUGGGUGUAAAGGGAGCGUAGACGGCAUGGCAAGUCAGAUGUGAAAGCCCGGGGCUCAACCCCGGGACUGCAUUUGAAACUGUCAGGCUGGAGUGCAGGAGAGGUAAGUGGAAUUCCUAGUGUAGCGGUGAAAUGCGUAGAUAUUAGGAGGAACACCAGUGGCGAAGGCGGCUUACUGGACUGUAACUGACGUUGAGGCUCGAAAGCGUGGGGAGCAAACAGGAUUAGAUACCCCAGUAC